GGGGGGGGGGGGGGGGGCAGGAGCUCAUAUUCAUAUACUUGUGUUCUGCAUCAUUUACUUCUUUUGAAUUUGAUUGUUUUUACGGUCUGCGAACAUGAAUAUAUGAAUAUGAGCCCCCCAAAAUAUCGAUCUUCCUACGACCAUGGCCAUACUUAUCCGAGCAGGCUCCCGCAGGCUACAAGUAGUUUAUGUUUGGUAUUGUAUUCUAUUCUAUUCUACUUAGGGGCCGACCAUUUAACUUUUGAGGGGGAUGGGAGGGGUGAUUUUGAAAAAAACAUUUCCUGCAAGGCUAUUCUGAACAAAACAAGAAAGCCUGCACUAACAAACUGGGGGGAAAAAUAUCCUGCCCCAGUAUUUGGUGGGGGGAAAAUGUUGCAAAACAGCAUGGUUGCAGGGAUCGAUUUGACCAGUCCAAGAAGAUCAGCUGGUUUGAUUUUCGGAGACUAGUGUAAGGUAAUUUCUUGUUGGAAAACUCCUCAAAAUAGCUUAUCUGAGCUUCACGAAAUCCAAAAUUUUCUGGGGGGGCAUGCCCCCAGACUCCUCUAGAGGCUUGCACCUUCGGUGGUCGACUCAGUUGUCUCAGAAUCCUAGUUAAUAUUGGCCUGAUCUGCUGCCCUAUGGCGUAUACUUAUUAGUUAAACCAUGCAUAUAUAUGCUGCAUGGUAGCUGCAGUGAUACAGUCUUGCCGACUGGAACUUCUCCAGGUCCCCCGCUAAAUAUGUCCCCUCCAGUUACACAUCCGUAAAGAGGCCCUGAACCAAAUCUUAUACCUCAUAGAAAUAUGUAUUCUUAAAAGCAAUGCAUGAAAACUCAACGUUAACUAUUAUUAAUUAAAGAAUCUAAAUAGUAUAAGCUAUUGAAAAAAAAUGCUGCGAAAGAGAGAGUGGCAAAAAAAUAUCGUACAUGGUGAUGGGAUAGGGGGAAAAAAUCUUGCACAUAACGAUCCCAUAUCAAGAACACAAAUUCCCUUCCAGCAGUAAAUCUCCCACCUCCUCCCCCCUCAAAAGUUAAAUGGUCGGCCCCUUACUGGGGUUUCUUUCGCUUUAAGAGAUUUCACUCCAGUUAUAAAGUGAGGUCAUCGGCGAAGGUAAAGUAUUUCAAUUUCCGAAAAUCAAAAGUAAUUCAGGUGCAAAACG
Paramuricea clavata is the source of this 1136-nucleotide non-coding RNA. NCBI's taxonomy places the organism in Eukaryota, Metazoa, Cnidaria, Anthozoa, Malacalcyonacea, Plexauridae. The record is from the annotation of a GenBank genome assembly.